GACGAACGCUGGCGGCGUGCUUAACACAUGCAAGUCGAACGGAAAGGCCCUGCUUUUGUGGGGUGCUCGAGUGGCGAACGGGUGAGUAACACGUGAGUAACCUGCCCUUGACUUUGGGAUAACUUCAGGAAACUGGGGCUAAUAUCGGAUAGGAGCUCCUGCUGCAUGGUGGGGGUUGGAAAGUUUCGGCGGUUGGGGAUGGACGCGCGGCUUAUCAGCUUGUUGGUGGGGUAGUGGCUUACCAAGGCUUUGACGGGUAGCCGGCCUGAGAGGGUGACCGGCCACAUUGGGACUGAGAUACGGCCCAGAGGCCUACGGGAGACAGCAGUGGGGAAUAUGGCACAGUGGGCGGAAGCCUGAUGCAGCAACGCCGCGUGCGUGAUGACGGCCUUCGGGUUGUAAACCGCUUUCGCCUGUGACGAAGCGUGAGUGACGGUAAUGUGUAAAGAAGCACCGGCUAACUACGUG
This 468-nucleotide ribosomal RNA is filed under the name uncultured bacterium. RNAcentral's name for it is "partial 16S ribosomal RNA". It matches the Rfam family "Bacterial small subunit ribosomal RNA", at positions 28 to 507 of the family's 1533-position model. The record is from RNAcentral.